AUUGAACGCUGGCGGAAUGCUUUACACAUGCAAGUCGAACGGCAGCACGGACUUCGGUCUGGUGGCGAGUGGCGAACGGGUGAGUAAUGUAUCGGAACGUGCCCAGUCGUGGGGGAUAACGUAGUGAAAAUUACGCUAAUACCGCAUACGAUCGAUGGAUGAAAGCGGGGGAUCGCAAGACCUCGCGCGAUUGGAGCGGCCUAUAUCAGAUUAGGUAGUUGGUGGGGUAAAGGCCUACCAAGACAACGACCUGUAGCUGGUCUGAGAGGACGACCAGCCACACUGGAACUGAGACACGGUCCAGACUCCUACGGGAGGCAGCAGUGGGGAAUUUUGGACAAUGGGCGAAAGCCUGAUCCAGCCAUUCCGCGUGCAGGAUGAAGGCCCUCGGGUUGUAAACUGCUUUUGUACAGAACGAAAAGGUUUCUACUAAUACUAGGAGCUCAUGACGGUACUGUAAGAAUAAGCACCGGCUAACUACGUGCCAGCAGCCGCCGUAA
RNAcentral lists this ribosomal RNA (500 nucleotides) under uncultured bacterium. Its description in RNAcentral is "partial 16S ribosomal RNA". It matches the Rfam family "Bacterial small subunit ribosomal RNA", at positions 30 to 523 of the family's 1533-position model. The record is from RNAcentral.